Molecule: ribosomal RNA, 422 nt
Filed under: uncultured Armatimonadota bacterium
Lineage: Bacteria; Bacillati; Armatimonadota
Description: uncultured Armatimonadetes bacterium partial 16S ribosomal RNA
Rfam family: Bacterial small subunit ribosomal RNA
Source: RNAcentral
CCUACGGGAGGCAGCAGUCGGGAGUCUUGCACAAUGGGGGAAACCCUGAUGCAGCGACGCCGCGUGCGGGAUGAAGUCCUUCGGGACGUAAACCGCUUUUGUCCGGGAAGAAGUUCUGACGGUACCGGACGAAUAAGCCCCGGCUAACUACGUGCCAGCAGCCGCGGUAAAACGUAGGGGGCGAGCGUUGCCCGGAUUUACUGGGCGUAAAGCGCGCGUAGGCGGCUGCGUAAGUGGGGAGUUAAAGCCCUCGGCGCAACCGAGGAAAUGCUCCUCAAACUGGGGGGCUUGAGGGUAGGAGAGGGGAGUGGAAUUCCCGGUGUAGCGGUGAAAUGCGUUGAUAUCGGGAGGACCACCCGUGGCGUAGGCGGCGUCCUGGCCGACACCUGACGCUGAAGCGCGAAAGCGUGGGGAGCGAACGG